RNAcentral lists this ribosomal RNA (1530 nucleotides) under Escherichia coli HVH 92 (4-5930790). RNAcentral describes it as "bacterial SSU rRNA". It matches the Rfam family "Bacterial small subunit ribosomal RNA". The record is from RNAcentral. Lineage: Bacteria; Pseudomonadati; Pseudomonadota; Gammaproteobacteria; Enterobacterales; Enterobacteriaceae.
AGAGUUUGAUCAUGGCUCAGAUUGAACGCUGGCGGCAGGCCUAACACAUGCAAGUCGAACGGUAACAGAAAGCAGCUUGCUGCUUUGCUGACGAGUGGCGGACGGGGGAGUAAUGUCUGGGAAACUGCCUGAUGGAGGGGGAUAACUACUGGAAACGGUAGCUAAUACCGCAUAAUGUCGCAAGACCAAAGAGGGGGACCUUCGGGCCUCUUGCCAUCGGAUGUGCCCAGAUGGGAUUAGCUAGUAGGUGGGGUAAAGGCUCACCUAGGCGACGAUCCCUAGCUGGUCUGAGAGGAUGACCAGCCACACUGGAACUGAGACACGGUCCAGACUCCUACGGGAGGCAGCAGUGGGGAAUAUUGCACAAUGGGCGCAAGCCUGAUGCAGCCAUGCCGCGUGUAUGAAGAAGGCCUUCGGGUUGUAAAGUACUUUCAGCGGGGAGGAAGGGAGUAAAGUUAAUACCUUUGCUCAUUGACGUUACCCGCAGAAGAAGCACCGGCUAACUCCGUGCCAGCAGCCGCGGUAAUACGGAGGGUGCAAGCGUUAAUCGGAAUUACUGGGCGUAAAGCGCACGCAGGCGGUUUGUUAAGUCAGAUGUGAAAUCCCCGGGCUCAACCUGGGAACUGCAUCUGAUACUGGCAAGCUUGAGUCUCGUAGAGGGGGGUAGAAUUCCAGGUGUAGCGGUGAAAUGCGUAGAGAUCUGGAGGAAUACCGGUGGCGAAGGCGGCCCCCUGGACGAAGACUGACGCUCAGGUGCGAAAGCGUGGGGAGCAAACAGGAUUAGAUACCCUGGUAGUCCACGCCGUAAACGAUGUCGACUUGGAGGUUGUGCCCUUGAGGCGUGGCUUCCGGAGCUAACGCGUUAAGUCGACCGCCUGGGGAGUACGGCCGCAAGGUUAAAACUCAAAUGAAUUGACGGGGGCCCGCACAAGCGGUGGAGCAUGUGGUUUAAUUCGAUGCAACGCGAAGAACCUUACCUGGUCUUGACAUCCACGGAAGUUUUCAGAGAUGAGAAUGUGCCUUCGGGAACCGUGAGACAGGUGCUGCAUGGCUGUCGUCAGCUCGUGUUGUGAAAUGUUGGGUUAAGUCCCGCAACGAGCGCAACCCUUAUCCUUUGUUGCCAGCGGUCCGGCCGGGAACUCAAAGGAGACUGCCAGUGAUAAACUGGAGGAAGGUGGGGAUGACGUCAAGUCAUCAUGGCCCUUACGACCAGGGCUACACACGUGCUACAAUGGCGCAUACAAAGAGAAGCGAUCUCGCGAGAGCAAGCGGACCUCAUAAAGUGCGUCGUAGUCCGGAUUGGAGUCUGCAACUCGACUCCAUGAAGUCGGAAUCGCUAGUAAUCGUGGAUCAGAAUGCCACGGUGAAUACGUUCCCGGGCCUUGUACACACCGCCCGUCACACCAUGGGAGUGGGUUGCAAAAGAAGUAGGUAGCUUAACCUUCGGGAGGGCGCUUACCACUUUGUGAUUCAUGACUGGGGUGAAGUCGUAACAAGGUAACCGUAGGGGAACCUGCGGUUGGAUCACCU